GACGAACGCUGGCGGCGUGCUUAACACAUGCAAGUCGAACGGAAAGGCCCUUCGGGGUACUCGAGUGGCGAACGGGUGAGUAACACGUGGGUGAUCUGCCCUGCACUUUGGGAUAAGCCUGGGAAACUGGGUCUAAUACCGAAUAGGACCACGCGCUUCAUGGUGUGUGGUGGAAAGCUUUUGCGGUGUGGGAUGGGCCCGCGGCCUAUCAGCUUGUUGGUGGGGUAAUGGCCUACCAAGGCGACGACGGGUAGCCGGCCUGAGAGGGUGACCGGCCACACUGGGACUGAGAUACGGCCCAGACUCCUACGGGAGGCAGCAGUGGGGAAUAUUGCACAAGGGGCGCAAGCCUGAUGCAGCGACGCCGCGUGAGGGAUGACGGCCUUCGGGUGGUAAACCUCUUUCAAUAGGGACGAAGCGCAAGUGACGGUACCUAUAGAAGAAGCACCGGCCAACUACGU
RNAcentral lists this ribosomal RNA (461 nucleotides) under uncultured bacterium. RNAcentral describes it as "partial 16S ribosomal RNA". It matches the Rfam family "Bacterial small subunit ribosomal RNA", at positions 28 to 506 of the family's 1533-position model. The record is from RNAcentral.